RNAcentral lists this ribosomal RNA (99 nucleotides) under Polyodon spathula (Mississippi paddlefish). The record is from RNAcentral. Lineage: Eukaryota; Metazoa; Chordata; Actinopteri; Acipenseriformes; Polyodontidae.
AUUUACGCCCGAUCUCGUCCGAUCUCGGAAGCCAAGCAGGGUCGGGCCUGGUUAGUACUUGGAUGGGAGACCGCAUGGGAAUACCAGGUGCUGUAAGCG